AGUAGUCAUAUGCUUGUCUCAAAGAUUAAGCCAUGCAUGUCUAAGUACAGACCGAUAUACAAGGUGAAACCGCGAAUGGCUCAUUAAAUCAGUUAUGGUUCAUUGGAUCUUACACGAGUUACUUGGAUAACCGUGGUAAUUCUAGAGCUAAUACAUGCAACUAAGCUCCGACCGCAAGGGAAGAGCGCAGUUAUUAGAUCAAAACCAAUCAGGUUCCUAGUCACCUGAUGAAGUUGUGAUGACUCUGAAUAACAUUGAGCUGAGCGCAUGGUCUUUGGACCGGCGCCGCAUCUUUCAAGUGUCUGCCUUAUCAGCUUGAUUGUAGGUUAUGUGCCUACAAUGGCUAUAACGGGUAACGGGGAAUCAGGGUUCGAUUCCGGAGAGGGAGCCUGAGAAACGGCUACCACAUCUAAGGAAGGCAGCAGGCACGCAAAUUACCCACUCCCAGUCCGGGGAGGUAGUGACGAAAUAUAACGAUGCGUGUCUCUAAUUGAGGCUUCGCAAUCGGAAUGAGUACACUCUAAAUCCUUGUACGAGGAUCAAUUGGAGGGCAAGUCUGGUGCCAGCAGCCGCGGUAAUUCCAGCUCCAAUAGCAUAUAUUAAAGUUGUUGUGGUUAAAAAGCUCGUAGUUGGAUGUCUAAUAUUGACUGAUGGUGCGCCUCUGGCGAUUACUGUCGGUUGAAAUAGCUAGUCAGCUUGCAUGCGAUGCUCUUUAUUGAGUGUCGUGCGUGGCUGGCAUGAUUACUUUGAAAAAAUUAGAGUGCUCAAAGCAGGUUAAUGCCUGAAUAUGAUGCAUGGAAUAAUGGAAUAUGACCUCGGUUCUAUUUCGUUGGUUUACUGAACCUGAGUUAAUGAUUAAAAGAGACGGACGGGGGCAUUCGUAUUGCGACGCUAGAGGUGAAAUUCUAUGACCGUCGCAAGACG
Molecule: ribosomal RNA, 924 nt
Filed under: Paramysis sowinskii
Lineage: Eukaryota; Metazoa; Arthropoda; Malacostraca; Mysida; Mysidae
Description: SSU rRNA
Rfam family: Eukaryotic small subunit ribosomal RNA
Source: RNAcentral